GGAAAAGCAAUUCAGAAUCCAAAA
RNAcentral lists this non-coding RNA (24 nucleotides) under Arabidopsis thaliana (thale cress). The record is from RNAcentral. Lineage: Eukaryota; Viridiplantae; Streptophyta; Magnoliopsida; Brassicales; Brassicaceae.